CGGCCUUCAACCCCUCACUUCCCUUAAUAUUGUUUGGGUGAAACAUAUUAAAUAAAACAUUUGGAUAAAAUUGCUUGUUUGUCUUUUUCAACUCAUGUCGGUCGUAUUGUGAAUUUCAUCGAAUAGCCCGGCGUAUAUCUUCUUACAACAAGAAAUCUGUGAGGUUAUGCUAACUUAAUAUACAACAAACAAGAAUUAUUUACUGACACAUCAAAUAUAUAUCAGCACAUAACUUUGAACCCAUACUAUAAUCUUAUGAUAGACAAUUGAUGGAGAGAAUACAGCAUCAAAAAUGUCCAACCCUU
Molecule: long non-coding RNA, 305 nt
Filed under: Mytilus galloprovincialis (Mediterranean mussel)
Lineage: Eukaryota; Metazoa; Mollusca; Bivalvia; Mytilida; Mytilidae
Source: RNAcentral